Molecule: non-coding RNA, 45 nt
Organism: Schistosoma mansoni
Lineage: Eukaryota; Metazoa; Platyhelminthes; Trematoda; Strigeidida; Schistosomatidae
Source: Rfam
AUCCAGCUGACGAGUCCCAAAUAGGAUGAAACGCGCAUUCUGGAU